Long non-coding RNA from Entelurus aequoreus (snake pipefish), 553 nucleotides. RefSeq lists it as uncharacterized. Lineage: Eukaryota; Metazoa; Chordata; Actinopteri; Syngnathiformes; Syngnathidae. The record is from RefSeq and is a predicted model, not a curated record. The transcript has 3 exons.
CACAAGAACAAAGAAAAUAUUUGUUGGUGGCCUUUCAGCCAAUACAGUAGUGGAAGAUGUGAAGCAGUAUUUUGAACAGUUUGGGAAGGAAGCCAGAAGUGGAGAAGGAAAAAGAACAAGAAAGAGAAGAAAUAGCAAAAGACCGUGUCAUCAACUUCUCCGGUUUCUGAGAAGGACAAAGAUGAAGAAACCAUAGCCCAGUCUGUAUUCACCGCAUCAACGCCGCUUGAGUACACACCGCUUACCAGUGCUGAUUCAACAGAAGGUCGGAAGUAUGUUCAAAUAGAAAAAGGAUGUUCACAUUUUUUGUUUGGUUAUUUGUAUUUAUUUUAUUAACAAUUUAAUAAACUAAAGUUAUUUUCAGUGUAAAUUGUAAAUGUUGUAUGAUUAAUAUUUGCACAUUUUAUAUUAUAUUUUUUAUACAUAUUUAUAUUUAAUCAUGUUACUUUGGCUUUUGUAUUAUUGUUUAUUACACAUUUGAUAGAAUGUAUACAUAUUGAUAUACAUAUGUUAUACUUUUUAUAUAAAACAAUUUUGUUUUAAUUAAAAAUGU